CAGCCAUGCCGCGUGUGUGAAGAAGGCCUUCGGGUUGUAAAGCACUUUCAGCGAGGAAGAACGCCUAGUGGUUAAUACCCAUUAGGAAAGACAUCACUCGCAGAAGAAGCACCGGCUAACUCCGUGCCAGCAGCCGCGGUAAUACGGAGGGUGCGAGCGUUAAUCGGAAUUACUGGGCGUAAAGCGCGCGUAGGUGGCUUGAUAAGCCGGUUGUGAAAGCCCCGGGCUCAACCUGGGAACGGCAUCCGGAACUGUCAAGCUAGAGUGCAGGAGAGGAAGGUAGAAUUCCCGGUGUAGCGGUGAAAUGCGUAGAGAUCGGGAGGAAUACCAGUGGCGAAGGCGGCCUUCUGGACUGACACUGACACUGAGGUGCGAAAGCGUGGGUAGCAAACAGGAUUAGAUACCCUGGUAGUCCACGCCGUAAACGAUGUCGACCAGCCGUUGGGUGCCUAGCGCACUUUGUGGCGAAGUUAACGCGAUAAGUCGACCGCC
RNAcentral lists this ribosomal RNA (492 nucleotides) under gamma proteobacterium II-03. RNAcentral describes it as "bacterial SSU rRNA". It matches the Rfam family "Bacterial small subunit ribosomal RNA", at positions 389 to 873 of the family's 1533-position model. The record is from RNAcentral. RNAcentral also lists the same sequence under 2 other names. Lineage: Bacteria; Pseudomonadati; Pseudomonadota; Gammaproteobacteria.